ACCCUUAGGACCGGGAUAACCCUGGGAAACUGGGGAUAAUACCGGAUAUAUGGAGAUACCUGGAAUGGUUUUCCACUUAAAGCUCCGGCGCCUAAGGAUGGAUCUGCGGCAGAUUAGGUCGUUGUUGGGGUAACGGCCCAACAAGCCAGUAAUCGGUACGGGUUGUGGGAGCAAGAGCCCGGAGUUGGAUUCUGAGACACGAAUCCAGGCCCUACGGGGCGCAGCAGGCGCGAAAACUUUACAAUGCGGGCAACCGUGAUAAGGGAACCUCGAGUGCCUGUAUAUGCAGGCUGUCCAGGUGUCUAAAACACACCUGAAGAAAGGGCCGGGCAAGACCGGUGCCAGCCGCCGCGGUAAUACCGGCGGCUCGAGUGGUGGCCACUUUUAUUGGGCUUAAAGCGUUCGUAGCUGGGUUGUUAAGUCUCUUGGGAAAUCCGGCAGCUUAACUGUCGGGCGUCUAAGAGACACUGGCAAUCUUGGAACCGGGAGAGGUGAGGGGUACUUCGGGGGUAGGAGUGAAAUCCUGUAAUCCUCGAGGGACCACCUGUGGCGAAGGCGCCUCACCAGAACGGCUUCGACAGUGAGGGACGAAAGCUGGGGGAGCAAACCGGAUUAGAUACCCGGGUAGUCCCAGCCGUAAACGAUGCGCGUUAGGUGUAUCGGUGACCACGAGUCACCGAGGUGCCGAAGGGAAACCGUGAAACGUGCCGCCUGGGAAGUACGGUCGCAAGGCUGAAACUUAAAGGAAUU
This 750-nucleotide ribosomal RNA is filed under the name uncultured Methanoculleus sp. RNAcentral's name for it is "bacterial SSU rRNA". It matches the Rfam family "Archaeal small subunit ribosomal RNA", at positions 111 to 866 of the family's 1478-position model. Lineage: Archaea; Methanobacteriati; Methanobacteriota; Methanomicrobia; Methanomicrobiales; Methanomicrobiaceae. The record is from RNAcentral.